UGGGGAAUAUUGGACAAUGGGCGAAAGCCUGAUCCAGCCAUGCCGCGUGUGUGAAGAAGGUCUUCGGAUUGUAAAGCACUUUAAGUUGGGAGGAAGGGCAUUAACCUAAUACGUUAGUGUUUUGACGUUACCGACAGACUAAGCCCCGGCUAACUCUGUGCCAGCAGCCGCGGUAAUACAGAGGGUGCAAGCGUUAAUCGGAAUUACUGGGCGUAAAGCGCGCGUAGGUGGUUUGUUAAGUUGGAUGUGAAAUCCCCGGGCUCAACCUGGGAACUGCAUUCAAAACUGACUGACUAGAGUAUGGUAGAGGGUGGUGGAAUUUCCUGUGUAGCGGUGAAAUGCGUAGAUAUAGGAAGGAACACCAGUGGCGAAGGCGACCACCUGGACUAAUACUGACACUGAGGUGCGAAAGCGUGGGGAGCAAACA
This 427-nucleotide ribosomal RNA is filed under the name uncultured bacterium. RNAcentral describes it as "partial 16S ribosomal RNA". It matches the Rfam family "Bacterial small subunit ribosomal RNA", at positions 355 to 774 of the family's 1533-position model. The record is from RNAcentral.